Long non-coding RNA from Phalaenopsis equestris, 777 nucleotides. RefSeq lists it as uncharacterized. The record is from RefSeq and is a predicted model, not a curated record. The transcript has 3 exons. NCBI's taxonomy places the organism in Eukaryota, Viridiplantae, Streptophyta, Magnoliopsida, Asparagales, Orchidaceae.
AUAAAUAAAUAUUGUUUUUUAAGCUCUCCAUUCAAAAAUAAAUUUCAUCUAACAUAAGAAAUGAGUUGGUUAUCAGUUUUAUUUAAUAACCUUGAAGAUUGUUUAUUAUUUGUUGCAGGGUAUGUAUCAAUAAUCAAACGUGUGAUGAUUACACUCUCAUCAAGGUGGAUGUUGCAAACAAGCACAAUAUUUUGCUAAAAAUUGUUCAAGUUUUGAGUGAUUUGGACGUCGUCAUCUCAAUGCCCUGUAUUUCAUGCACUGGUGGUUGGUUUAUGGAUAAAUUUUAUGUCAUCGAUCCCCAAGGGCACCAGGUGAAUUAUGGACCUACAAUGGACAUGUUGUUUGCAUCCUCAAUUUAAAAGAACCAGACACGGGUCAGCCCAUCAUGGAUCCAAUUAGCAUUGAUUACUUGGGAGAGUAAUUGACAUGUAUUUUAAAGACAAAACGCUUCUCUAAGGGACUAUAAGGCUCCACAGCAUGUCAGAUUCAUAAGGAGCGGCGACAACAUCAUUUUAUGGAAAUGUACAUGAAUUACGAUGUCAAAUUUUGAUAAUUAUUAAUCAAGAGAGAUCAACUGAGUGUGGCUAUGAUCAUGGAGGACAAGAAGAGUUUUGGAAGUGCUAGUAAACGUAACAAUGUGGGGGUGCUUGCCAUAGGUGUUUGAUUGAAAGUUGGAAAAAUAUGGAUUACUUAAUUGUGAAAGUGAGUAGUAGUAAUAGACCUAAGUUGAUGUUUGAUGUAGUGCGUGCUCUAAUAGAUCUUGAUUAUAAUAUUUUU